Molecule: non-coding RNA, 29 nt
Filed under: Mus musculus (house mouse)
Lineage: Eukaryota; Metazoa; Chordata; Mammalia; Rodentia; Muridae
Source: RNAcentral
UUGUUUUUAUGUGGGUCCUGAUUACCAAU